AUCUACGGCCACACCUAGGCGAAAACACCAGUUCCCGUCCGAUCACUGCAGUUAAGCGUCUGAGGGCCUCGUUAGUACUAUGGUUGGAGACAACAUGGGAAUCCGGGGUGCUGUAGGUU
This is a ribosomal RNA of Schizosaccharomyces cryophilus OY26, 119 nucleotides long. The record is from Rfam. Lineage: Eukaryota; Fungi; Ascomycota; Schizosaccharomycetes; Schizosaccharomycetales; Schizosaccharomycetaceae.